GCGAGGGUAGCCAAGCCAGGCCAAAGGCGCCAGACUUAAGAUCUGGUCUUCAGUAGUUCAUGGGUUCGAAUCCCUUCCCUCGCA
Molecule: transfer RNA, 84 nt
Organism: Methanocorpusculum labreanum Z
Lineage: Archaea; Methanobacteriati; Methanobacteriota; Methanomicrobia; Methanomicrobiales; Methanocorpusculaceae
Rfam family: tRNA
About the family: Transfer RNA (tRNA) molecules are approximately 80 nucleotides in length.
Source: Rfam